AAGACUCGGUUUACCGGACACUGGCGGACAGGUGAGUAACGCGUGGGGAUCUGCCUCGGAGUGGGGGACAACCGCUGGAAACGGCGGCUAAUACCGCAUACGCCCUUAGGGGGAAAACUCCGGUGCUCUGAGAUGAUCCCGCGUCGGAUUAGCUAGUUGGUGGGGUAACGGCUUACCAAGGCGACGAUCCGUAGCUGGUCUGAGAGGAUGACCAGCCACACUGGAACUGAGACACGGUCCAG
RNAcentral lists this ribosomal RNA (242 nucleotides) under uncultured bacterium. Its description in RNAcentral is "partial 16S ribosomal RNA". It matches the Rfam family "Bacterial small subunit ribosomal RNA", at positions 65 to 334 of the family's 1533-position model. The record is from RNAcentral.